GGAUUAGAUACCCUGGUAGUCCACGCCGUAAACGAUGAGUGCUAGUUGUCGGGGGCUCAGUCUUCGGUGACGUAGUUAACGCGUUAAGCACUCCGCCUGGGGAGUACGGCCGCAAGGUUAAAACUCAAAGGAAUUGACGGGGACCCUCACAAGCGGUGGAGCAUGUUGUUUAAUUCGAAGCAACGCGAAGAACCUUACCCACACUUGACAUCCUGGUCGCGGAUUUCAGAGAUGAUUUCCUUCAGCUCGGCUGGACCAGUGACAGGUGCUGCAUGGCUGUCGUCAGCUCGUAUCG
This 295-nucleotide ribosomal RNA is filed under the name uncultured bacterium. RNAcentral's name for it is "partial 16S ribosomal RNA". It matches the Rfam family "Bacterial small subunit ribosomal RNA", at positions 775 to 1067 of the family's 1533-position model. The record is from RNAcentral.